Molecule: ribosomal RNA, 487 nt
Filed under: uncultured bacterium
Lineage: Bacteria
Description: partial 16S ribosomal RNA
Rfam family: Bacterial small subunit ribosomal RNA
Source: RNAcentral
GAUGAACGCUGGCGGCGUGCCUAAUACAUGCAAGUCGAGCGGGAUCCAUCAGGCUUUGCUUGGUGGUGAGAGUGGCGAACGGGUGAGUAAUGCGUGACCGACCUGCCCCAUACACCGGAAUAGCUCCUGGAAACGGGUGGUAAUGCCGGAUGCUCCGACUCCUCGCAUGGGGUGUCGGGAAAGAGUUCAUCGGUAUGGGAUGGGGUCGCGGCCUAUCAGGUAGUCGGCGGGGUAACGGCCCACCGAGCCUACGACGGGUAGCCGGCCUGAGAGGGCGACCGGCCACAUUGGGACUGAGAUACGGCCCAGACUCCUACGGGAGGCAGCAGUGGGGAAUAUUGCACAAUGGGCGCAAGCCUGAUGCAGCGACGCCGCGUGCGGGAUGACGGCCUUCGGGUUGUAAACCGCUUUUGAUCGGGAGCAAGCCUUCGGGUGAGUGUACCUUUCGAAUAAGCACCGGCUAACUACGUGCCAGCCGCCGCUGUAA